Triticum aestivum (bread wheat) is the source of this 7042-nucleotide long non-coding RNA. RefSeq lists it as uncharacterized. The record is from RefSeq and is a predicted model, not a curated record. The transcript has 6 exons. NCBI's taxonomy places the organism in Eukaryota, Viridiplantae, Streptophyta, Magnoliopsida, Poales, Poaceae.
UUCUCUCUCCCUCUCUCUCAUGCUGCGGUCAGUACUCCAAUUAUUACCGAAAUUUCCCUCUCCAGUAUGCUAAGCUAUAAUUUCCAGUAGUAUUCUGCAUAUGACCAAAAUGGUUUUUUGAGGACAGUGCAACAUGAUGUCUGCACUUUUAAUAUGAGUGAGAUGGGUUUUUGAGGAUAGUUUUGGUUUUGGAUUAAGUAUCAAUGAGAUUUCCGAAUCCGGGUCCAAGAUGCUUGCUUAGUUGCUUUAGAAGAAGAGUCUCUGCUCUGUUCUGGUCCUACACAUGGGGGUAUUAGGAGGAUUCAAAGUUUUGAUGCUUCUUGUUCUGGUGGAAUCUCAUGAGCUAGACGGAUUUAGGUUACGCUUAAUCCUUGAAAAUUUUCUUUCCUGGUUGAGGUGCGGCAAUGAAAACAUCGACCUUUUAGUAAAAAAGUUGCACAUUGAUUCUUGUGCAUGCUGAGGAUUCAUGCUACGAAAAUAGACUAUAGGGGAAUCCAUAAGGAGAUAGUAUGCAUCUUGCUCUAAUCGGUCGAUCUAAAUUAGGGUGUCACUGUUUUUCUUUGUAUAACAAAAUAAACACAUAUCGACCUGACUACUUGUUGUUGCCAUUGUUGAUCUUCAUAAGUAAUGACAUAACAUGGAGAGCUUCCAUGAGUAAUAACAUAACAUUAUUUUGGGCUUCCCAUGUUGAGUGAGUUUUAAAGUUUUCCCUGUUUUCAUCGACAGCCAUCCAGUUUACGCUGAACAAAUUAGUAACUCUUUUUAGCCAAAAAUUUCAGUUAUGCAAUACACCAUAACCUUUACUAUUUGAUUUGUUCCUAAGUUAGGUAAAUCAGUGUUGUUGUAUACCCCAUGCAGUUUGUACAUUCUUUUGUUGUUCAAAUAGUUGUGUGAAGAAGAUGGGUGUACUUGUGUAUUAUUAUUUUUAGCUCAAUUUCUUGCUUCUUGUGACUUCUAUUGCCUGAGUGAUUUCUCACAUGGUUUCUCUAUUCAUUUGCAACAUGGUUCAAAGGCUGUUCUGAGCAUGUCAAGGCUGAAGUGUGCACUUCUGAGGUUUGUUUUAUGGGCCCUUUUGUUCCUGCUGAUUGGUGUGCCGAUUAUAAUCAUAUAUGUACAUGGCCAGAAGGUACUUAGAGAAGAGUGUGCAUCAAUAUGAAGUGUUGUCCUACUCUUCUAACUAAGGAUCAGGUACAAGAAGCAGCAAAGUACAUUAAAGGCCGAGAAGUACAGUAGUAGUUACAUUACCAAUACGAAUUUAUCUUUGACUUGAAACUCUGAAUCUUUUCUAAAGAUGAAUCGAUGGUAUUGCAAUUUAUCUCUGCCUUUUUCCAAUGGAUGCAUGUCCAUCCCCUGUUUCUCAAUUGUGUGUUUUCUUACUUAGUCAAGAAACAUCUUAAUUUGAUGGCAGGCAUGCUGAAGAAUAUUUGAAUAUAUAAAUGCUUCCUUCUUUUGAAUAACCCGGUUCCCUUUUCCUAGAUCAAGAAACAUCUUAAUUUCUCAGCCUCCAUGGACACGGCCGAGAUCCUUGACCAUUGCUCAUCGGGACAUGUGCCAUAUAGCAAUAAAAAACAGCGUUUAGCUAUUCAGUUGGCCCGGGAUCUGAGCGCAUCUGUUGCAUUCGUUGUUCGUCGUCCAGUUGGCCGUAGCCAUCCACAAGAAGAGCCGCACAUACAAGGUUCUGAGCUUCUAAUAAAGAAGACCCACAAGUUUCAGAAAUAAGGUAGGAAAAAUCAAAGGUAAAACAUGCAGGCACAUGCCUUCGGCAAUCGGCCUUUUAAAGAGGUGUUCAUGAGUGUAUAGCUGCACACAAGGAUUUGUGCCAUGUGGCACUAUCCAUUUACCAUUGAGUCCCUUUCUCCGUUUGGCAGGCAACCAGCCGAGCCUAUUCUCGGUGGUAUAAAUCAAAUACUUUCUUGACACUAUAAUUAGACCAGUCAUCCACAGGACCAGUGAAGAAAGAAAAGUUAUUUCUUCUUUUCCAGACCAUUGGGAAGCUGUCUAGGUAUUCAGACUUAGCAGAUAAAAGGAACACUCUAUAUGCAAACGGUGUUCCACACUGUUUUACAAUCACAUCUAAUGACAGUUCCAAGCGACCAAAGAAUCACAAUAUCUACGAAAAUUCUUCCUCUCUAUCUCGAGAAGAUCCAGUUGUAGAACCAAUAUUGAGCCCCUAUUGUGCACUUGAUUAUGUGCCAUUUUCUGCAGGCGCUUUGAUACACAGCCAAUUAAAAUGUUCAGGCGAUUGAUGACAGCACAGUACCUUAAAGGCCGGUAAAAGAAGUUUCUAAGAAGCGUGAACACUGUGAGAAGUAAGCUAGCCAAGGCAAUAUUUAGAAGCUUUGUUUGCUGAAUUUUGUCUUCCUAUCCAUGCUAACCAUUGCAAUCCAUAACUCCUAUUACCUGAAAACCGCUUUUCUGUUUUACCAAGGUCUAAAUAUGCGCUAAUAUGUUGGCAUACCGUUUCGGGCUUGGCCAUCUGUUUUACUACACUAUUUGUUUAAUAAGCAUCUCUAGCGGUAAAUAGAAAACUAAUGAUCUGAUCAACAUUCUAUUGAAGGAGUAGAUCAUCGAUGCCUGCAGCUGCGGGGCUCAUGGAGCCAGAAGAGGCUGUCACCGUCGGCGACCUUGCCGUCUUUCUCCUGUCCAGAGAGUCACUUGGUUGUGUGAUGUGUUUGUGCUCGUUGGCGGGGCGGUGCAAGGCGCAACUCCGACGCGGUUCCUCGACGGUUGGAUGGCGUUCAGGCGCAACCCUGGUGCCCACUGAGUGCUACAUGGCUGCGCCUGCGCCUCCGGUUGGUCCUCCCCGAGACUGGUUCUUGCCAGAUCUGCUGUUGUGCUCAUUGAUUUGCAGCCUCGUCCACUCCUGUCUGUGCAUAUUUUGAUCCGAGCUGGUUGCAUCUUCGUUCAUGGAUCUUUGGGUCAUCUGCAGGUUCAUAUUUCUGUGCUACAUCACCUCAUCCUCUCAUUGGCCGCUUCGGUGCCCGUGGCGUUCGUGCUCAUCGGUGGGACGGUGCAAGGCACAACUUCGAUGCAGCGGCGUGGAUGUGUGGUGUAGGAAGUGGUUCCUCGCUGGCUGGACGGCGUUCAGGCGCAACCCCGACGCCCACUAAGUACUGCCUUGGCUACAACAUCCCUCGGUGAGCUCCAUCUUCCUCCUGCUCUGCUUCAGCUACUGCAUGGGACAUGGCUAGGGCUAUGAUGAUCAGUUAUGGCUGAUAUAGGCAUACUCUCGAGCAAUCGAGGCAAUUGUUGUGGGUAUUAAUUUGGAUCCCCCUCAUUUCUUUGAGCUAUUUUGAUCACGUUCUUAUUUUAGUGGCUCUGUCCUUGGAUGGUCAUUUCUGAUGAGUGAUAACCAGGGCAGUUUCACCCUCAUAAGAACAUUUCGAUCUGGUGAUCCAUCAAAGAAUCCAGAAAUAAGAAUAGAAGCUCCUCAGGCCGCACCACAGCGAUUUGGGAUUCCUGGCCGUCGGAUCGGGUGGUUUGAUCAAAUCUGGGCCGUCGGAUCGACCCCUGUAACGACCUCGUCCGUCGGAUAAAAAAAAGUUACUGCUAGAAUGAAUAGUUACUCCCGCGGUGAGAUAUCUCGUGCCACCGCGUUUGAAUCACGUGCCCCAUCCGUCGGAAGCCAUUCUUGCUAGGGCGAUGAUGAUUAGUCGUGGCUGAAAUAAGUGUGCCUUUGAGCAAUUGAGGCACCUGUGGGUAUCAAGUUGGAUCCUCCCUCUUGUCUCUAGAAUCCUUUUUGAUCCUGUGAUACUUAUUGUUCUGUCCUUGGAUGGUCGUUCUUGUUGAAUGAUAACCAGGACAGCUCCACUGGAUAAACAGAUUGAUCUGUGAAAGAGAUUAUGGGGGUAGAUUAUAUGAUCGAGGAAAGGAGAAUCUGAGUCCACUAUGCAUUGAACCCUGAACCCUUUUUAUUUGUAUUUAAAGGUGUCGCUUAUUUAUGCUCCAGUGUUUAUAGCCGUCUUAUGUAAAGAUUUCUUCUCUCUCCUACCUUUGAUCUUUUAUUGUUUGUUGUUGGUCCUUGAUCUAAUCUGGUUAAGAGUAAGUUUCACUUUGUUAUUCUGGGAUAAGCGAUGGUUCGGCUAUGCUAUUGGUUCUUCAUGAGGAGUUCAAUGGAGGAUUUCUGAUAUUAUUUUAUUGUUAACUAGUCAUGCGAGUAAGCUUUCUUGCAGGUACCCACACUUCUCUCUCCCAGUAUAAAUAUUGAGCAUACAAUUUCAAUUUCAGCUUAGGCACACAACCUGCUCUUUUUUCUUAAGUAAGAUAUAGAUGAGGGUGAUCAUUUAUUGUCUGUUUGAUAUUUGCAUGUAGUUAUUAUUUCAUAAAGACUUAUGUUUAACCUUCUGUUAUAUCUGGACAUCUUGGUUCUAAAUUUCAUUCCAGAGAUAUGCUAAAAUAUAACUAGGGCAGUGCACACAUAAGAUUUAUUUGCUUUUCUUCCAUGUUGGAGAGUGGCAAUACCUUGCUGAUUAAAGUACAUUAUUUCCUAUUAGACAAGUGUUUAUAUUCUCUAGCUGGUUAAUGUUUUCUUUCUUGGCUGUAGUGUAUUUGGCAUUUGAGGUGAUCACAAAUAGGAGUUGGGGCAGAAAAAUGUCAUUUUAUUUCCUCUCAUGUGACUAGCCAGUUUUGCCUUCACGCCCAGAGUCUUGCAAGUUGUACCCGUGUCGAGAUUUGCUAUGGUGUCUUAUGUCUUUGUUUCAUGUUUAUUUCAGGUUUUGCUUUGAGGCCUCAAGUCCAGCGUAUCCUUGGUUUUAUAUUGAAUAAAUGCCCGCAGUCUGCACUCAUUUCUGUAACAUAGAAGUUUAUCCUACUCCUCUUCAUCUUAUUCUUUGUAGUGAACUUGAUACGUAUGUUUAGUGUUUAUGCCAAUACCUACGGUUCUGAAGUGUAUUUGAGAUGUAUUUUCCUUCUAGAAAGGCCACACUAUUCCUUCCAAGUAUAUUCAUAGUAAAUAUGAAUGCAUGUGUUUCCUGUAUGUAAUAGUGCGACACACGCAUUCUCAUUUACAAAUUGAAUCAUGCUACUCUGACAUCAGAGAGCUGUAGGUUUAGUUUUUAGUUAAAGCAGUAUCUACUAAGUAUUGUAUGUGCAACACCACAUUUUGAAUCACAUUUGUGGUAAAUUUAGCAAUGCUUGUGCCUACCCUUUUAGUAGCCAAUAUGGUUCAGAUGCAGUGUUUUUUAUUUCCUUUUUUUUGCUUUCAGCACACACAUAUGGCAUUGAAGUUCUUUAUAAUGUAUGUAGGCAUAGUAGUUGUGUCACUUACUGAUGCUCUUAUGGUACACAGAACACUAUUAAGGUGUUGGGCCCAGAAACAGGAAGAGUAAUCCUCUUCCAAGGUUAAUUUUAUGUCUACUUCUUUAUGUACAUAACUCAUGAUUUGACAAAUAGUUAAGUUCCCUAUAUUUUAGUAUUUGUACUUCUAUCCUUUUCUACAAAAUUAGAAGAGAAAAUAAUGUUGACAAAUGAUUAUGAUUGCUUGUUUAUUUUCUUGGUGUUGGAUUACUAAUGUGGAGAACUAUAAUUUUUAUAGAUGGUCGCUCGAUGCGCUGAGCAUCAUGUAAGGUCAUUAGAAUUCAUAUAUGAAUCAACAUAUUCUUCUGCUGCUAAUUAGCAUGUUUGGUCUAUUUAAUUUCAAACAUAUGUAUUAUUCACCAAGGCGCCUGCCUACUUUCAUAAUGAAGUUAUAACAUUAGGCGUUAGGUCAUUACACGUCGUAGAUGGAUCAACAUGUUCUUCCUCUUGUAAUUAGCAUGUUUGGUCUAUUUAUUUCAAACAUAUCUAUUAUUCGCCAAGGCUCCUUCCUACUUCCAUAAUGAUGUUAUCCCAUAGUUAAAUUGGUGUCUAAAAUGAGCCCCCUCUUAACUCCGUUUCUCUGCAGUAAAUGAAGCCUAGAGGUGGAGGGAUUUGGAUGAUCUGUAGUCAAAGGAUACCAUCAAGCAAGAGGACGCACAAGGAGGCUCGCCCCGGAGUACAGUGUGUUCAAGUUGAUCUGGAACAAUUUGAAGGGUUUCCUUGACACAAAAUCUCCAGCCAAGGUUUACUUAAGCACCUCAAAUUAUGUAUAGAAGUUUAAAAUUGUAAUUGUUUCAGGUUCUUCGCCACAUUCUGUAUGCUUUGUUAAUUUUUUUAAUAAUUGGACCUAUUUGCUAUGUGGAACAUGUAGCAUUUACUUGAUCAUAAUCUAAUUCAAUUUUUGACCACCGUCUUUUGGCUCUUGCUUUCAACAAUAUGCAGUAUCGGUUAGUCAUUUUCUUGACACAACACUUUUAGGCAACGGCUCAGACUUCUUGAGCCAUUCUCUAUUUAUUUUCGAUUCAUUUUUCAAAAUAAACAACCAAUGUUUCCUCCAUAUAUGCAUGACUCAAUGACACAAUGAAUUUUUUCCAGUCAACUGAUCAUCCUAAGCCUCAUCCUGUAUUCAAUACAUUUAUGUUCCAUUGCUAACCAAUGUUCAUUUGUGAUGUCUUUUCUUAGGAUGGAAAUGUUCCUCGGCACCAUGACGAACAUCAACGGAGGAACAACCUUUUUAUUUUAUUUUCUGUUGCCUCUACUGUAUUGUUGCUGCCACAAAGAUUUACCUGGACACGGAGCCAUCAUGAUGUGUUUAAAAAUGAUUACAUUAUCCUUUUCUAACCUGUUGGUGUUAGAGACAUCUUAGCAUUCAAGCAGGUUUAGUUCAUUGUUCUUUAAUUCCUAUUAUGUAAAAAAAUCACUGAUCAUCGCUUGACAGAAAAUAUUUUGAUAUGCGAUCAUGUGCAUGGGCGAAGAACCUGGAUGUUAUUUACAGGUUUUGGAUCAUGUAUGAUUGUUUUGAAUGAAAAAAUAUCAGAUAAAAGAAAGCAUGUAAUCUUACUAAUCCAGCAAAGCCUUGAAACCUCGAUGCUUCUAAAUUUGUGUGAGCUAAAUGAUAAUUUUUGCAACACCCAAAACUGUAUGUUGCCUUAUAGUUUCAUUACAAUGUUGAACUUAACGGUGAUUUGCUCCAAUUACAUGUGAAUGUUUCUUCUUCCUCAUAUUUUGUUAUAUCCUAUUUGAAUAC